Alnus glutinosa is the source of this 629-nucleotide long non-coding RNA. RefSeq lists it as uncharacterized. The transcript has 3 exons. The record is from RefSeq and is a predicted model, not a curated record. NCBI's taxonomy places the organism in Eukaryota, Viridiplantae, Streptophyta, Magnoliopsida, Fagales, Betulaceae.
AUGCAAGAAAUGUUGGUUGACGAAGAAGUUGUCUUAAAUGAAGAUGAAAUAUUUACACAAGUUCUUGGUGGGAAACGUUCUGGCCAUGUUAGAGGGAUGGGAAAAUAUGUCAUACCUACCCCAUCCUCUUCACAUUCGCGAUAUGGCACCCAAGUCAACCUUGAGUUAAAGGAAACAAAGCUCGAAGUGACCAAGUUGUCAGAUCAAUUAUUGGAAAAAGAAAGAAAAAGAGAUCAACAAAUAGAAGAAAUGCAAAAUGAAUCAAAUCGACGUAUUGAUGAGAUUCAAAAAGAAGCAAACCGACAUGUUGAGGAGAUUCAGAAAGAAUCAAAGCGCCAAUAUGAUCUUCUAUUGUCACGUAUUUUAGGAGCACAAGGUCAUAAUUUUGCUCAAUUUGAUGGGCAAGGUUAAAGAGAUUCGAUUCGAAAACUUCACGUCUUUUGUGCUAUAGAGUAUGGGGAAUCUACCACCGCCGACACUCUUGUGGCUUAUGUUAAAUUAUAGUUGCAUUAAUUAAAUUUUGGAUACACUUAAUGUUUUAUCAGAUUUUUGGAUGCACCAAAUGUUCUAGAUGUAAUUUGACGAGGAAGACUUAGUUUUUCAAUACUUAAUGUUUUAUCAUAUUUCGU